UUUAAUCUAAUUAUUUCAUAUUUUAGUCUAGUGACAUUUAUUUAGUUUAGUUUUAAAUAAGAUUUUAUCAAUUAAUAAAUUUAAAUAACACAAUACUGUGUUUUUUGAUUAAAUUGUAAAAUUGCAUUUGCUGCCUGAAUCCAUCCGCCAAAAACUUUUAAUUUAGGCUCCGAAUGGUAACAUUCGUUCCGCACCGCAGUUAACAGUAACAAAAAUUUAUGUAUAUACCAUACAUCUAUACGUUUUUAUAGCUGUCAGAACUAUACCGCAGUCAAACUGCUUGUCCCGCACCGCUCAAUCCGCUGCUACCAUUCGGAUUUAGUGUUUUUGUUACCAAAAAUCGUUAAAUUAAUUUCUUCCAACAAACGAUGUAGCAGAAUAUUUUAUUGUCCAUAUUUCUCAAGUGGCAUGAGUGUCAUCCAAAGUUCAACACUUUCAGUCAACGUCGUUUCCACUCUCAGACAAUAUAGACAAGUAGAUCUGAGUGGACUCAACA
Molecule: long non-coding RNA, 496 nt
Filed under: Brassica rapa (field mustard)
Lineage: Eukaryota; Viridiplantae; Streptophyta; Magnoliopsida; Brassicales; Brassicaceae
Description: long non-coding RNA (BRAP_LNC006639)
Source: RNAcentral